This 121-nucleotide ribosomal RNA is filed under the name Gigantopelta aegis. Lineage: Eukaryota; Metazoa; Mollusca; Gastropoda; Neomphalida; Peltospiridae. The record is from RNAcentral.
GUCUGCUGCGCCAUACCACGUUGAAAGCACCAGUUCCCAUCUGAACACUGAAGUUAAGCAACGUCGGGCCAGCGUAGUACUGGGAUGGGAGACCGCCCGGGAAUUGCUGGUGCUGCAGACU